This 253-nucleotide ribosomal RNA is filed under the name uncultured bacterium. Its description in RNAcentral is "partial 16S ribosomal RNA". It matches the Rfam family "Bacterial small subunit ribosomal RNA", at positions 524 to 776 of the family's 1533-position model. The record is from RNAcentral.
UACGUAGGAUGCAAGCGUUGUCCGGAUUUACUGGGCGUAAAGCGCGCGCAGGCGGCACUCUAAGUACGUCGUGAAAUAUCCCGGCUCAACCGGGAGGGUGCGAUGUAGACUAGGGAGCUAGAGGUCGGUAGAGGGGGGUGGAAUUGCUGGUGUAGCGGUGAAAUGCGUAGAGAUGCGGAGGAACACCGAUGGCGAAGGCAGCCCCCUGGGCUAACACUGACGCUCAGGCACGAAAGCGUGGGGAGCAAACAGG